AUUGAACGCUGGCGGCAGGCCUAACACAUGCAAGUCGAGCGGCUCGGCGGUCGGGUGAGUAAUGCCUAGGUAUCUGCCUGUUCGUGGGGGAUGACGUCCGGUACCGGGCGCUAAUACCGCAUCCUCUUUGCUGCGCCUAGGUGGGAUUAGCUAGUUGGUGGGGUAAAGGCCUACCAAGGCGACGAUCCGUAACUGGUCUGAGUGGAUGAGCAGUCACACUGGAACUGAGACACGGUCCAGACUCCUACGGGAGGCAGCAGUGGGGAAUAUUGGACAAGGGGCGAAAGCCUGAUCCAGCCAUGCCGCGUGUGUGAAGAAGGUCUUCGGAUUGUAAAGCACUUUAAGUUGGGAGGCGUUACCAACAGAAUAAGCACCGGCUAACUUCGUGCCAGCAGCCGCGGUAAUAC
RNAcentral lists this ribosomal RNA (407 nucleotides) under uncultured bacterium. RNAcentral's name for it is "partial 16S ribosomal RNA". It matches the Rfam family "Bacterial small subunit ribosomal RNA", at positions 30 to 526 of the family's 1533-position model. The record is from RNAcentral.